Long non-coding RNA from Dermochelys coriacea (leatherback sea turtle), 2167 nucleotides. RefSeq lists it as uncharacterized. Lineage: Eukaryota; Metazoa; Chordata; Testudines; Dermochelyidae. The transcript is spliced from 3 exons. The record is from RefSeq and is a predicted model, not a curated record.
CGAAACUGCAAAGAGGAAAAAUUAGACUUAAAUUACACCUUUCAAAACUCUCACUUUCACACAAUGCAUCCAGUGAUGACAAGUGUAUCAAGUUGUUCUCAGUGAAUUGUUAUACCAGUUUCUGUAGUUGCCAACUGAUUUUGAAUUAUCAGGAGUAGUGCAAUGAACUUACUGGCUCACUACUGGGUACUUUUCUUCCUUAUGUACCCCACACACUCAAAUGAGCUGGAGGGGAACAACUAGCCGCUAUUACUCAGUUAAAUAUGUUGCCAUUAGAGGGCUCCAUAAUCCCUAGAGAACAGGAAAAGGAGGGAACAGGGAACUGGACUCAGGAAAGACUGGGAGCUAACUGGAGAGGAGUCAUGCAAGUAAGGGCAGUAGGCCAGGCACAAUAGCCUAGGAACUGGCUAUGGAGAGGGGGCAAGGCAGCCUGCAAUGCUUGUCUCUUAGCUCUUUUUUACAGAGUACAGUACAGCCCCUCUGGAGGGGAGGUGGUGUACCACAGCACUCACAGAGCCACCCUGUGUUGGGGUUGGUUACUGUGCAUAUGAGCAUAUGUUGCUUUAGAAUCGUUUUAAUAUUUUUUUUUCCAUGAACUCAAUAGUGGCAACUUCAAAUAUUCAACAAUCAUCAGUCAGGUACCCCAAAAAUCAUGCAUUUGGCUUAAUCAAAAUUUUGGAUCCUCUAGAGUUCAUAAUGGUAAGUUUUUUACUCUACAAUCAUUUUAAAAAAAAAUCUGAAUUUCUCCUGUGAUUUGUGUGGCUCCAGAAACUGGAACUUUAUUAAACACCAAAUUUUAUGGACUUGCAAUAGCAUCCCCAUGGUUGGCAACAAUGAACUAAUUACCUUUUGAGUAAAAAUAGUAGUGGGAAGGAAAACUAUUAAAUGCUUCCCCCCCAUUAAUUGAUUUAGAUCUGGGAUGUGAUCUGCACUCAUCUGUCCGAUUUUAACCACAAUCACUUAUGAUACAUGUGAACUUACUUUACAGAUAUGUAGUGUAAGAUACUCUGUGGCAACUCUCCUGAUUAAAUAGAAUCAGGUUAGAAUUUAACUGUGUUAAAUGUGGCAAAUAUGGUUUUACUUUCACCAUGAGAACAUGUGUACAGUACUUUCAAAUCUUCACAAACCUGAGAAACUCAAAGUGAACUUGAUCCCCGAGAUAACUCGCCAGUUUAACACAAAAAUUAAUUUGGCAACAUCUUGAAGGGGAUCUAAAGAAAUCCCUGGAAUCGUGUUUGGGCAUUCCCACAAAAACCAUGCUCUGAAAAAGCCCCAGCAUUCCCGCUUCAACUUCAGGAUAUGGGUGGGAGGGAAACCCCUCCGCGUUCUUAGGAGCUACCCUCUGCAAUCAUUUCCCCAUCUUUGUGAAUACUGGGGAAUACUGCCUGGUAGACAGCCUGCUUCCAAUGAUCCCUAGGCCUCUGCUGACAGCUCCUGGAGACCCAGCCCCAAUUCAGGGGCUGGGAAGCCAUCUGCUGCAGAGUGGGGUGAGUGAGCCUAACAGUACCUGGAAAUGUGACUCCAACCUGGCUCUCUGCUAUGGGGCUGCUCACACUGGAACCCCAGCAGAUCUCCAAUGGAAACAUGCCUGUGUUUUGGCAAAUGUUUUGUCUUGUCUGCAAUAAAGUCUACCAAACAUUUUGGGCUAGAAAAUUGGCAUUUUCCAAUGAAACUUAGUUAUGUUUUGUCAGAAAACUUCCCACCAGCUCUAGGCAUUAUGUCUGGGAUGAAUUAAGCCCAUGUAGAGGUAUCAACCCUACAGAAUGUCACUCAGUUGAUGGGUCCCCAUGAGCUUCAGUGGUUUAUGUGGUUGCUAUUCUAUUGUACUAGGAAUCAGUUUGUGAUCUGGGGAUUGAGUCAGAUCUGCUACAUCAAAAUCACUCAGUUCCAAAUGUUCUUUAUGUACAUGACUGCAAAGCCCAAGUGGGAGAUCCUGGAAAACUUCAUCUCUAAAAGUGUUCAGGUUUGAAAACUGGACUCCAUAUCCACUAUAAUCCUCACAGCUGUGCCAUAUGCUUCCUUUGACUGCUCAGAACGUGGCCAUAGCAAUAGGCCAUGAUCCCAACAGGUGCCACUAGGCAACCAAGAAAGAAAAAGAGCACAAAGGAGGCAUCACUGGGGUUUUUUGACUGCCAGUCCACUGAACAACCUAGUCCAUGUAUCUCCA